UCUCUCUCUCUCUCUCUCUCACGCACACACACACACACACUCUUUCUCUCUCUCAAGAAAUUUAUAGGAAUGGAGAAAACAAGAAUGGCCUCAAUCUCUCUCUCAGCUCUUCCUAUAUGCCAACAGAGAAUGUCACAUAUUGCAUGUUGCUUGUCAUCCCAAAGAGGUUUUCAAACUGCCUCUCUCUCUCUCUUUCUNNNAAAAUGUCACAUAUUGCAUGUUGCUUGUCAUCCCAAAGAGGUUUUCAAACUGCCUCUCUCUCACACACACACACACACACGCGCACAGACACAUGGAAGCAGCUUAAGGAAAAGAGCAGCGGAAAUAACAAAGCUUUGAAGGAUAAAUGUGCAUGGCAUGGGGACUGUACAAAAUGCCACUAAUUCUGGCGCACUUUUACCAUUUCUUUUUAAUUAAU
This 418-nucleotide long non-coding RNA is filed under the name Nicotiana benthamiana. RNAcentral describes it as "long non-coding RNA (NBEN_LNC025940)". The record is from RNAcentral. Lineage: Eukaryota; Viridiplantae; Streptophyta; Magnoliopsida; Solanales; Solanaceae.